RNAcentral lists this unclassified non-coding RNA (284 nucleotides) under uncultured fungus. RNAcentral describes it as "partial contains small subunit ribosomal RNA, internal transcribed spacer 1, and 5.8S ribosomal RNA". The stretch from base 1 to 73 matches the Rfam family "Eukaryotic small subunit ribosomal RNA", at positions 1759 to 1831 of the family's 1831-position model. Lineage: Eukaryota; Fungi. The record is from RNAcentral.
GCAAACUUGGUCAUUUAGAGGAAGUAAAAGUCGUAACAAGGUCUCCGUUGGUGAACCAGCGGAGGGAUCAUUAUCGAGUUCUAAAAAACUCCCAAACCCAUGUGAACAUACCUUUUGUUGCUUCGGCGGGAUCGCCCCGGGUGCCAUUCAGUUGCGCCCCGGAGUCAGGCGCCCGCCAGAGGACCGAAACUCUUGUAUUAUUGAGAAUCUCUGAGUGGAUUAAACAAAUAAUCAAAACUUUCAACAACGGAUCUCUUGGUUCUGGCAUCGAUGAAGAACGCAGC